Molecule: long non-coding RNA, 718 nt
Filed under: Manihot esculenta (cassava)
Lineage: Eukaryota; Viridiplantae; Streptophyta; Magnoliopsida; Malpighiales; Euphorbiaceae
Description: long non-coding RNA (MESC_LNC001367)
Source: RNAcentral
ACAUAAUUGCCUGUACCAAUGCUCUUGCCGUCCUUCACCGGAAGGGUAGCCGCCGCAUCUGUCUCCUUUACGUCUCUGCUGCUCGAUAACCUUGAUUGAAUAAAAUUGACUCUAGAUUCAUCUUGCAGGAGGAUCUCUGUGUGAUUUGGAGCUUUGCCUUGAUUUAGUUGCGAGCAUGGGCCAUGCUUGUGGACUACUCUCAGUGAUGUCUUCUUCUCCACUGCUGAAAAACAGGUAAACACUAACGUUAAUAAUUUUUCAUAAAUUUUUUAUUACUAAUAUUAAAAUUUUCUUCAUAUUGUGAUAUUUUAAGUUUGAACUUCCAUAAAAAUAAAAUUUUUUUAAAAAAAAACCUUCACAUUUUUUCCCCCAUUCAAUACCUUCACUAGCUGAAUAGUUUUCUCAACUAACAUGGGUGAGAUUGAGUAAGUUUUUUUUUUGUUUUUUUUUUCUCCUUCUGGGUAUAUGCCAAAAACGUUAUAGAAAGUAAAGGAGAUUAAGAAAAUUAUGGAUCUAUAGUUAGCUGGUAUGAUUUUUCUGUAUGAUGGUAGCCAUUAAUAUUAAGCAGCAGAGAAGAAGUUAAAAAGCUAGAGUUAUGUAAGUAAUGACCUUUAACAGUUGAAGGUUUGCAAGAGUGGGAUGGGAGUAGAGAGCUGACUUCAAUUGUAUGGCUAUGGUGAAGAAGAAUUCUUUCUGCAAGAUUUCUUUCUUGUAAUAU